This 73-nucleotide transfer RNA is filed under the name Chloroflexota bacterium. RNAcentral describes it as "Chloroflexi bacterium tRNA-Lys". It matches the Rfam family "tRNA". Rfam says of the family: Transfer RNA (tRNA) molecules are approximately 80 nucleotides in length. The record is from RNAcentral. Lineage: Bacteria; Bacillati; Chloroflexota.
GGGCCCUUAGCUCAGCUGGUAGAGCAUCCGACUUUUAAUCGGGCGGUCCAGGGUUCGAAUCCCUGAGGGCCCA